CCCUCCUCUGAGCCCCCCCACUGGUGACUCUGAGGGGGCUCAGAUGCCCGCAGACAUUGGCUUCUAAUGUCCCUGCCCCAGAGGCCACAGGUGGGACCCAGGGAGCCCACCUCCCUCCCCAGCUCUUCCUGAAUAAAGCCGCUUCUCCCUCUGGCAA
Molecule: long non-coding RNA, 157 nt
Organism: Myotis brandtii (Brandt's bat)
Lineage: Eukaryota; Metazoa; Chordata; Mammalia; Chiroptera; Vespertilionidae
Exons: 3
Source: RefSeq, a predicted model, not a curated record